Dermacentor silvarum is the source of this 1105-nucleotide long non-coding RNA. RefSeq lists it as uncharacterized. Lineage: Eukaryota; Metazoa; Arthropoda; Arachnida; Ixodida; Ixodidae. The transcript has 3 exons. The record is from RefSeq and is a predicted model, not a curated record.
GCUUUCGUUUCGUGGUGCUUUGAAGUGCAGCAGCAGGCAUUGCAAUCUCAAGGGCCUCGGCAAUCAUUUUAAUCAUGGUUAAUUGCGCUGUGUUCGGAUGCAAUAACGAGUCGCGGUGGAAAGCUGACUCUGGUGAGAACACGAAGAAGCUUAGCUUUUUUCUGUGCCGAAUGUUGUUCGUUGGCAGUGCAGCCAGACCUUAGAGAUCUCAACGAAGCGUCGAGCGGAAUGGUUUCGUUGCCUCUACCGGGGUGACAUUAACACAGACGCUACCCACUACAAAGUCUGCAGCGAGCACUUCGUUUCUGGCAGGCCAUCCUACUUAAUGGAUCUGACGAAUCCGGACUGGGCGCCAAGCUUGCACCUAGGGUAUGACACAAAGUCAACAACUCGGUCUGAAGAAAGGCACCAGCGACGUUGCAAGAGGGCUGCGACCCUUGACUACAAUGCUGAAUGCGCAGCAGAGCGCUGUGAACAGUACUGUCACAAGUAAAAUGGCUUAUUCAUACAAGGUGAAUAUUUUCUUUAAUGACAUUCAGCAUCUUAACAUUUUUGUUUUUAUGCAGGCACACCACUUGCAAGCCGGCAUCCAGGAAGAUUCUUUCAAGAUGACUAUCUGCUGGUGUCCACACAAAAAAGUCGCAAUAGCUGCGCUGGCAAACAAAACGCUGCAUUUGUAUUUUUUGCGUGUAGUAAGCAUGUUGUCGUUUCUGAUUCAGUGUAUUAUCACUAGCAGCAACUUCUAAGCAGCCACUUUUCUGGGUCACAACGUCAUUUACACAAGCAGCUGAAUAUGGGCACUUAAUUUCUAAAACACCAUCUUGGCAGCAGGCACAAUAAAUCAGGCCAUCUGGGCUUGCUGCCAUGUGGGGCUCAUGUGAACUAAUAUGCAAUCCAGACUUGUUGGAAACAAACUCUUUGUGCUGGCUGGAUGCUUCAGCAACAUAUUGGUUCCUGGCAGUGUCCUCCUUGCGCAGACUCCAAUUAGUUGCAGCAGAAGAAAACUUGCUCUCCUCAGGGUAGCAGAUCUUCUUCACCAGGCUCACAGAUGGCUGAGUCAAGGUCGUUCGGCAAGCUGCGUGGGCUGUCGAUGCCGCGACCCGGC